RNAcentral lists this ribosomal RNA (497 nucleotides) under uncultured bacterium. RNAcentral describes it as "partial 16S ribosomal RNA". It matches the Rfam family "Bacterial small subunit ribosomal RNA", at positions 30 to 523 of the family's 1533-position model. The record is from RNAcentral.
AUUGAACGCUGGCGGCAUGCUUUACACAUGCAAGUCGAACGCGAAAGGGGGCAACCCUGAGUAGAGUGGCGCACGGGUGAGUAAUGCAUCGGAACGUGUCCUGUAGCGGGGGAUAACCUAGCGAAAGCUAGGCUAAUACCGCAUACGCCCUGAGGGGGAAAGUGGGGGAUCGCAAGACCUCACUCUAGAGGAGCGGCCGAUGCCGGAUUAGGUAGGUAGUGGGGUAAAGGCCUACCAAGCCUUCGACCUUUAGCUGGUCUGAGAGGACGACCAGCCACACUGGGACUGAGACACGGCCCAGACUCCUACGGGAGGCAGCAGUGGGGAAUUUUGGACAAUGGGGGCAACCCUGAUCCAGCCAUGCCGCGUGCGGGAAGAAGGCCUUCGGGUUGUAAACCGCUUUUGUCAGGGAAGAAACGCUUUGGGUUAAUACCCCGAGGUAAUGACGGUACCUGAAGAAUAAGCACCGGCUAACUACGUGCCAGCAGCCGCUGUAA